This 264-nucleotide long non-coding RNA is filed under the name Bos indicus x Bos taurus (hybrid cattle). Its description in RNAcentral is "lncRNA (ENSBIXG00000010308.1)". The record is from RNAcentral. Lineage: Eukaryota; Metazoa; Chordata; Mammalia; Artiodactyla; Bovidae.
AUGAUCCUACUGGGGAAGCACAUUUUAGAUAAUUUUCCCAAAUGUCUUUAUAGGUUAUACUUCCAGAGAACCUGUUGCAACACAGCGUACAGAGACCACUGUCACUUGGGAUUCACCAGGUUAUACUUCCAGAGAACCUGUUGCAACACAGCGUACAGAGACCACUGUCACUUGGGAUUCACCAGGUAAGUUACCAACCAAAGGAGAUGGGUAAUAGAUUUCCAGCCAUUAGCAUCAUAUCUGUGUAUUUAAUAAGCACCUAUC